RNAcentral lists this ribosomal RNA (119 nucleotides) under Pteropus alecto (black flying fox). Lineage: Eukaryota; Metazoa; Chordata; Mammalia; Chiroptera; Pteropodidae. The record is from RNAcentral.
GUCUACGGCCAUGCUACCCUGAACGAGCCCGAUCCCAUGUGAUCUUGGGAACUAAGCAGAGUCAGACCUGGUUAGUACUUGGAUGGGAGACCACCUAGGAAGACCAGGUACUGUAGGUA